GCUAACUAUAGUAGCACAGACCAAGACUGGAGCAACACAGAAAAGACUAAGCAUGGUCCCUGUCCAAGGAUAACACAUAAAGUUGUGAAGCAAUCCACAUUAAA
Small nuclear RNA from Meriones unguiculatus (Mongolian gerbil), 104 nucleotides. NCBI's taxonomy places the organism in Eukaryota, Metazoa, Chordata, Mammalia, Rodentia, Muridae. The record is from Ensembl.